RNAcentral lists this ribosomal RNA (353 nucleotides) under uncultured bacterium. RNAcentral's name for it is "bacterial SSU rRNA". It matches the Rfam family "Bacterial small subunit ribosomal RNA", at positions 335 to 678 of the family's 1533-position model. The record is from RNAcentral.
ACUCCUACGGGAGGCAGCAGUGGGGAAUAUUGCACAAUGGGGGAAACCCUGAUGCAGCCAUGCCGCGUGUGUGAAGAAGGCCUUGGGUUGUAAAGCACUUUCAGUAGGGAGGAAGGUAGUGUAGUUAACACCUGCAUUAUUUGUACGUUACCUACAGAAGAAGCACCGGCUAACUCCGUGCCAGCAGCCGCGGUAAGUACGGAGGGUGCGAGCGUUAAUCGGUAAUUACUGGGCGUAAAGCGCAUGCAGGCGGCCUGUUAAGUCAGAUGUGAAAGCCCGGGGUCUUAACCUCGGAAUUGCAUUUGAAACUGGCAGGCUAGAGUCUUGUAGAGGGGUUAGAAUUUCAGGUGUAG